UCCCCCAGUAACGGCGAGUGAACAGGGAAGAGCCCAGCACCGAAGCCUGUGGCCAUUUGGUUACUAGGCAAUGUGGUGUUUAGGUCGUUCCGCAGAGGAUCUGCUCCACCCUAAGUCCAUCAAUGAGUACGGUAGUAUGGACAUGGCCCGCAGAGGGUGAAAGGCCCGUGGGGGUGGAGUCUCGGUAGGACAGAGCCUCUCUGGAUAGACCUUGGAGUCGGGUUGUUUGUGAAUGCAGCCCAAAGUGGGUGGUAAACUCCAUCCAAGGCUAAAUACAAGCACGAGUCCGAUAGCGAACAAGUACCGUGAGGGAAAGUUGAAAAGUACUUUGAAGAGAGAGUAAACAGUGCGUGAAACCGCUCAGAGGUAAACGGGUGGAGUUGAACUGCAAGCUUUGAGAAUUCAGCUGAUGAGUGUGGUUUGAGCUUGGUCAAAUUGGUGGACUCCGGGGUCUGCGUAGUAGCAGGUCUCUGCCUUUGGGUGGGGAUGCGCGAUGCGCUUAUCAAGCGUUGUGCCCUCCGGCUGUUCUUCGACCUGCUUGUCAGUGCACUUUCUCAGAGUGGUCACCACGACCGGCACCGCUGUCUGGCCGCUAUGGUUAAACCGGUUUUGCAUAGUCCUCGUGGCUUUGCUUGAUCGGGAUGGCAGGUAGCUCGUUGACUUGCCUGUGGCUUGCCACAGGCGUUCGGUUUUCGAGUGUAUCAGCUGACCAUAGUGGUUCUGUGCAGUGUGUCGGGAGACGGCGGCUUUGAAGGUGCGUGCAUGCGUUGCUGCUCUGCUGACUUGUCCGGGUUUUGGUUGUUUUGUUGCCUGUUCAAGCAGGCCUUAUGACUUGUCCGGUUUUGGUUGUUUUGUUGCCUGUUCAAGCAGCCCUUAUGAUGGCUCGGAUUAGUCUGGUGGUGUAGUGGUGGUGCUGUUCCAAGGGCCAACAGUCUGUGGUGUAGUGGUAGACUUUCCACCUGACCCGUCUUGAAACACGGACCAAGGAGAGUAACAUGUGCGCGAGUCAUUGGGCGUUACGAAACCCAAAGGCGCAGUGAAAGUAAAGGUCUGACUAGUUCAGACUGAGGUGAGAUCCUGCCGUUUCUCACGCGUGGUACCUCCAAGCAUCGAGCGGCAGGCGCAUCACCGGCCCGUCCCAUGGCAGUUGUUUUCGAACAGUUCGGUCGGGGCGGAGCAUGAGCGUACAUGUUGAGACCCGAAAGAUGGUGAACUAUGCUUGCGCAGGUUGAAGCCAGAGGAAACUCUGGUGGAGGACCGCAGCGAUUCUGACGUGCAAAUCGAUCGUCAAACGUGAGUAUAGGGGCGAAAGACUAAUCGAACCAUCUAGUAGCUGGUUCCCUCCGAAGUUUCCCUCAGGAUAGCUGGCGUUCUGAGAAAUAAACAGUUUUAUCCGGUAAAGCGAAUGAUUAGAGGCCUUGGGGGCGAAACGUCCUCAACCUAUUCUCAAACUUUAAAUGGGUGAGAAGUCCAACUCGCCUAAACGGAGUUGGGCGUUGAAUGUGAGUGCCAAGUGGGCCAUUUUUGGUAAGCAGAACUGGCGCUGUGGGAUGAACCAAACGUUCGGUUAAGGUGCCUAACUCGACGCUCAUCAGAUACCACAAAAGGUGUUGGUUGGUCUAGACAGCAGGACGGUGGCCAUGGAAGUCGGAAACCGCUAAGGAGU
RNAcentral lists this ribosomal RNA (1666 nucleotides) under Haplometroides intercaecalis. RNAcentral's name for it is "LSU rRNA". It matches the Rfam family "Eukaryotic large subunit ribosomal RNA", at positions 76 to 1279 of the family's 3401-position model. The record is from RNAcentral. Lineage: Eukaryota; Metazoa; Platyhelminthes; Trematoda; Plagiorchiida; Plagiorchiidae.